GACGAACGCUGGCGGCGUGCCUAAUACAUGCAAGUAGAACGCACAGUUUAUACCGUAGCUUGCUACACCAUAGACUGUGAGUUGCGAACGGGUGAGUAACGCGUAGGUAACCUGCCUGGUAGCGGGGGAUAACUAUUGGAAACGAUAGCUAAUACCGCAUAAUAUUGAUUAUUGCAUGAUAAUUGAUUGAAAGAUGCUAUUGCAUCACUACCAGAUGGACCUGCGUUGUAUUAGCUAGUAGGUGAGGUAACGGCUCACCUAGGCGACGAUACAUAGCCGACCUGAGAGGGUGAUCGGCCACACUGGGACUGAGACACGGCCCAGACUCCUACGGGAGGCAGCAGUAGGGAAUCUUCGGCAAUGGACGAAAGUCUGACCGAGCAACGCCGCGUGAGUGAAGAAGGUUUUCGGAUCGUAAAGCUCUGUUGUAAGAGAAGAACGGGUGUGAGAGUGGAAAGUUCACACUGGACG
Molecule: ribosomal RNA, 471 nt
Filed under: Streptococcus gordonii
Lineage: Bacteria; Bacillati; Bacillota; Bacilli; Lactobacillales; Streptococcaceae
Description: bacterial SSU rRNA
Rfam family: Bacterial small subunit ribosomal RNA
Source: RNAcentral